Molecule: long non-coding RNA, 933 nt
Filed under: Capsicum annuum
Lineage: Eukaryota; Viridiplantae; Streptophyta; Magnoliopsida; Solanales; Solanaceae
Description: long non-coding RNA (CANN_LNC000893)
Source: RNAcentral
CUAUUGUGUUGUUGUAUGAGAAGAGGGAUUUUCUAUUUAUAGAAGUUCAAAAUCAUUCCUUCAAGAAAGAGGUUUACCAAAUAUAAAAAAGUUUUAUAUUUUUUUUUUAGAAAAAUAAAAGUAAUUAUGGUAUUACUUUUAUUUUCCUUCUAAGAAAAAUAAAACUUAAAUUUGGUAAGAAAAUCAGGACAAAAAUCCUAACAAAUCUCCCCUUUUUGGCUUGAUUUUCUUGACGGCAUAUUCUUGAUCCUCCUUCACACAAUCUUCAUAUAUCACUGUUGCUUACCAUGAUUAAAAGUUGAUAUUUAUUAAAAAUUAGAGCCCUAUGCAUUGAAAAUAAAAGCAUGGGUUCAUAUUAUUGGCGCCUCGUGUUAUAAGUAACAGGGUUGAAAGUGGAGCCUUGUGCAUUGAAAGAAAGUACAGGUUAAAAGUGGAGCUCAUGCGUUAAAAGUAAAUGCAUGAGUUGAAAGGAGUCCAAGCGUAAAAUCAAGUAUGGGUUGAAAAUUCAAGCCCAUAAACAUGGGUUGAAAAUUGAUUUUGAUUUUAAAGAUGGACUAGCAGCAGGAUCGUUGAAAAUUUAUUUGAAUCUUUUUCUCCACAUGUAGUCUUUUUUGGACAUAUAUCUUCAUUAUCAUCAAAUUGGUUGCAACUUUGAUCUCAACAUAUCCUCAAUCUGAACCAUAGGAUCAUUGAAUUAUAGACUCUGAUACCACUUGCUAGGUUUGAAAUCGAGAGGGCGUCAUGCGGAAGCUUAAAGUUUGCAAACCUUGAGACAAUAAAUUAGACGACAAAGAAAACAAUACUAAAAAGUAUAAAAUUAUUAUAUGUUUUGGCCAAUCGGCCUACAUAUUAUAAAACCUAAUAUCGAAAAACAUUAAACCUAUUAGGAGAAAUCUCCCCCUAAACAAACUCUUUAAUGACUACAUUGUGGAU